UAGCAAUACGAUGGAAAGUCUAGUGGCGAACGGGUGCUUAACACGUGGGCAACCUGCCAGGAAGUGGGGGAUAGCUCGCCGAAAGGCGAAUUAAUACCGCAUGUGAUUAGAGAGGACAUCCUUUCAAAAUUAAAGUCGGGGCAACCUGACGCUUCUUGUGGGGCCCGCGGCCUAUCAGCUAGUUGGUGAGGUAACGGCUCACCAAGGCUUUGACGGGUAGCUGGUCUGAGAGGACGACCAGCCACACUGGGACUGAGACACGGCCCAGACACCUACGGGUGGCAGCAGUCGAGAAUUUUUGACAAUGGGGGAAACCCUGAUCGAGCGACGCCGCGUGGAGGAUGAAGGUCUUCGGAUUGUAAACUCCUGUCAUUGGGGAACAAUGCACAGAUAUUAACUGUAUUUGUGUUGAUAGUGCCCGAAGAGGAAGAGACGGCUAACUCUGUGCCAGCAGCCGCGGUAAUACAGAGGUCUCAAGCGUUGUUCGGAUUCAUUGGGCGUAAAGGGUGCGUAGGCGGCGCGGUAAGUCGGGUGUGAAAUCUUGGAGCUUAACUCCGAAACUGCAUUCGAUACUGCCGUGCUUGAGGACUGGAGAGGAGACUGGAAUUCUCGGUGUAGCA
Molecule: ribosomal RNA, 620 nt
Filed under: uncultured Verrucomicrobiota bacterium
Lineage: Bacteria; Pseudomonadati; Verrucomicrobiota
Description: bacterial SSU rRNA
Rfam family: Bacterial small subunit ribosomal RNA
Source: RNAcentral